GCCUAACACAUGCAAGUCGAACGGUGAACACGGAGCUUGCUCUGUGGGAUCAGUGGCGAACGGGUGAGUAACACGUGAGCAACCUGCCCCUGACUCUGGGAUAAGCGCUGGAAACGGCGUCUAAUACUGGAUACGAGACGUGAUCGCAUGGUCAACGUCUGGAAAGAUUUUUCGGUUGGGGAUGGGCUCGCGGCCUAUCAGCUUGUUGGUGAGGUAAUGGCUCACCAAGGCGUCGACGGGUAGCCGGCCUGAGAGGGUGACCGGCCACACUGGGACUGAGACACGGCCCAGACUCCUACGGGAGGCAGCAGUGGGGAAUAUUGCACAAUGGGCGAAAGCCUGAUGCAGCAACGCCGCGUGAGGGAUGACGGCCUUCGGGUUGUAAACCUCUUUUAGCAGGGAAGAAGCGAAAGUGACGGUACCUGCAGAAAAAGCGCCGGCUAACUACGUGCCAGCAGCCGCGGUAAUACGUAGGGCGCAAGCGUUAUCCGGAAUUAUUGGGCGUAAAGAGCUCGUAGGCGGUUUGUCGCGUCUGCUGUGAAAUCCCGAGGCUCAACCUCGGGCCUGCGGUGGGUACGGGCAGACUAGAGUGCGGUAGGGGAGAUUGGAAUUCCUGGUGUAGCGGUGGAAUGCGCAGAUAUCAGGAGGAACACCGAUGGCGAAGGCAGAUCUCUGGGCCGUAACUGACGCUGAGGAGCGAAAGGGUGGGGAGCAAACAGGCUUAGAUACCCUGGUAGUCCACCCCGUAAACGUUGGGAACUAGUUGUGGGGUCCAUUCCACGGAUUCCGUGACGCAGCUAACGCAUUAAGUUCCCCGCCUGGGGAGUACGGCCGCAAGGCUAAAACUCAAAGGAAUUGACGGGGACCCGCACAAGCGGCGGAGCAUGCGG
RNAcentral lists this ribosomal RNA (890 nucleotides) under uncultured Actinomycetes bacterium. RNAcentral describes it as "bacterial SSU rRNA". It matches the Rfam family "Bacterial small subunit ribosomal RNA", at positions 46 to 944 of the family's 1533-position model. Lineage: Bacteria; Bacillati; Actinomycetota; Actinomycetes. The record is from RNAcentral.